Herpailurus yagouaroundi (jaguarundi) is the source of this 2365-nucleotide long non-coding RNA. RefSeq lists it as uncharacterized. The transcript has 2 exons. The record is from RefSeq and is a predicted model, not a curated record. Lineage: Eukaryota; Metazoa; Chordata; Mammalia; Carnivora; Felidae.
AGGAUGUGCUGCCGGGUGUGAGGCACAGGACUGCAAAACUGAGCACUUUCUCUGAGCCAGAGCCGGUAUUGAAUGUAGAGACACAGAGAUGAACAAAGGUCCCAGAAGGGAGCGGACUGCACAGUAAGUGCGGAAACUGGCUAUCAUGGCUGUGGGACUGCCAAGUCUAAAAUCCACAAGGCAGGGCUGGAAACAAGCAGGAGUCGGUGCUACAGGCUUGAGAAGGCAUUUCUUCUUCCCCAGGAAACCCCAGUUUUUGCUCUUAAGGCCUUCAACUGAUUGGAUAAGGCCCACCCACACUACAAGAGGUAAUCUUUAUUUAAAUGAACUUAUUAUAGAUGUUAACCACAUCUACUGGAUACCUUCCCUGCCAUGCCUAGAUCAGUGUUUGAUCAACCACCUGGGCGCUAGGGCCUAGCCAAAUGGAUGCAGAAAAUUAACCAUCACAGAAGGCUCACCCCAGUGGGGUAUCCCUGAUCAGUCCCAUACGCUCUUCCUUCCCGGGUGCACACUGCUCUGGACUCCCUCUCAAGCUUCUCUUCCAACCACCCCCACCCGGCCACCGUACACACCCUGUGUCUGUCCAGGCCUCACAGGUGAGAUCCAGACACUAAAGCUCAGAGCCACAUCUGGAAUGAAGAGCUCUGAGUUCACAGCCUCCUACCCAGGGCGUCUCCCACGCAAGCUGGGGAGCUGCCUCCACGCGGCGCUGGCCCAGAUGUUUCCUCUCUUCCCUGGCAGGAGGCGAAUGGGACCUUGAAUUGUAAUCUUGGAAGAAGCUGCUGCAAGACACAGAUCUGAGCGGUCCUAGCUAAACUUCUUGGCACUACUGCCCCACUCCAGACCCAAAGAUCAGGGAGCAGGACAGGCCCCAGAGAGAGACCAGACUUGAGAUUUUCUUCUGAGAGCACCAAAAGAGUGAGGAUUAUCUUGGAAUUGCUGUAGAAUUCUGGUGGCAGAAUCACAGGCUCUCCAAGCUGAAAGGUCACUUAGAUGUUCCCCCACCCUCUGAAAUUCAUGAGAAUGUCACGUAUCACAGAACACUCCACCAGAAGGGUUUUUAAACAAAGUCUGGCAGUCGAAAAACUCAAGAGGACUGUUGGAGAUCCGACAAAAGCAACAUGACGUAAAUCUCUGGGCAAGGAGGCAGAAGCCUUGAUCACAUGAUGGCUCGGCUGCUGAUUUACCACUUGACCUUGAACAAAUCUUUCCUGGACGACCUUGAGCAAGCUUGCUCUCCAGGCACUGGUUUUCCCACCUGAAAACGAGGAGUGCGCUACUUGACUUGGAAAGUCUUCUCUGGUUGUUGUGACUCCCUGCCUCCCGAGUCUGGUAUCUAACAUGUUCUAGCUGCAUGACCUUGGACAUAUCACUUAACCUCCUUAACCUCUGUUUCAUUAUCUGCAAAAUGGGGGAAUCAUAAUCCCUGCCUUGCUCGUCUUGUAUACUUGCUGUGGGGAUGGAGUGAGAGGUGUGAGGUUACCCUGGGUGAAGUACAAAGUGCUAUUCACAUCUAAUGUAUUAUUGCAAGGUGAAAUAUCAUUGUAUGAUGUAUCUAGGGUAUCUGAAGCUGCACAAGCCCCUACAAGACCCAAUUUGUCCCCAAUUCACAGGGGACAAAGGGCACGGGGGUUAAAGGCUCUGGAGCCAGACUACCUGGGUUCGUGGCUUACCUCUGCCAAGUUUCCUCAUGAGUGAAAUGGAAUAAUAAUAGCUCAUGUGAAGCCCAGGGCAGAGCCUGGCGUGUGGCAUGGGCUCCAUCCACGUCGGUGAUUAUCGUGAUCAUUCCAUCAUGAAGCAAAGGAGGCAGGGUGGGGCCAUGAGAGGACCGGUGGCUUUUGAAUACACCAGACCCAGCUGGGUUCAAGUCUCAGUUCUACCAUUACCAGGUGAAUCAUACACGUGGCCACGUUCUACAUCCACUGUCUUCUUUUUUGCUCUCCUCUGAUGGCUCCUGGGUCCAGUGCUUGUCCAUUUUCCCUCUCUUUUGGGGCUGGACACUUGGUUACCCACGUUGAUUGAUUGAUUCAUGGACUGCUUGAUCCAGAAGAGAUGCCUGGAAAAUAUUGGAAUUCACUAGCAUGAAAGGCUCCUCUGUAUUUUAAUGUGUGGAUAAUUUGAAAGAUGUCUUUAAUCCUUUCUGGAAGUAUCUGCUAUAAAAUGGCAUAGAUGGACUAAAUACCAGUGCCCUUGCUUUGGGCUUGAAUUCCGUUUCUCUGUCUGUCUGUCUAUCCAUCAACUCUUUCUUUUACAACCACACUACUUGUAUCAUAUCAAUCAAAGUUCUGAUUGAAUGUAAUAAUGUGGACCUAAUUCAUAUGAAAGAGAAGACAAAAUAUAAUAAAUGCAGCAUUUGGUGGUCAAA